ACUCCUACGGGAGGCAGCAGUGGGGAAUAUUGCACAAUGGGCGCAAGCCUGAUGCAGCAACGCCGUGUGAGUGAAGAAGGUUUUCGGAUCGUAAAACUCUGUCCUAAGGGAAGAAACAAAUGACGGUACCUUAGGAGGAAGCCCCGGCUAACUACGUGCCAGCAGCCGCGGUAAUACGUAGGGGGCAAGCGUUAUCCGGAAUCACUGGGCGUAAAGGGUGCGUAGGCGGCUUAGCAAGCCAGGGGUGAAAGGCAUUGGCUCAACCAAUGUAAGCCUUUGGAACUGUUAAGCUUGAGUGCAGGAGAGGUAAGUGGAAUUCCUAGUGUAGAGGUGAAAUUCGUAGAUAUUAGGAGGAACACCAGUGGCGAAGGCGACUUACUGGACUGUAACUGACGCUGAUGCACGAAAGCGUGGGUAGCGAACAGGAUUAGAUACCCUGGUAGCACA
This 447-nucleotide ribosomal RNA is filed under the name uncultured bacterium. RNAcentral describes it as "bacterial SSU rRNA". It matches the Rfam family "Bacterial small subunit ribosomal RNA", at positions 335 to 797 of the family's 1533-position model. The record is from RNAcentral.